AUACAUGCAAGUCGAACGAGUUCUCGUUGAUGAUCGGUGCUUGCACCGAGAUUCAACAUGGAACGAGUGGCGGACGGGUGAGUAACACGUGGGUAACCUGCCCUUAAGUGGGGGAUAACAUUUGGAAACAGAUGCUAAUACCGCAUAGAUCCAAGAACCGCAUGGUUCUUGGCUGAAAGAUGGCGUAAGCUAUCGCUUUUGGAUGGACCCGCGGCGUAUUAGCUAGUUGGUGAGGUAAUGGCUCACCAAGGCGAUGAUACGUAGCCGAACUGAGAGGUUGAUCGGCCACAUUGGGACUGAGACACGGCCCAAACUCCUACGGGAGGCAGCAGUAGGGAAUCUUCCACAAUGGACGCAAGUCUGAUGGAGCAACGCCGCGUGAGUGAAGAAGGCUUUCGGGUCGUAAAACUCUGUUGUUGGAGAAGAAUGGUCGGCAGAGUAACUGUUGUCGGCGUGACGGUAUCCAACCAGAAAGCCACGGCUAACUACGUGCCAGCAGCCGCGGUAAUACGUAGGUGGCAAGCGUUAUCCGGAUUUAUUGGGCGUAAAGCGAGCGCAGGCGGUUUUUUAAGUCUGAUGUGAAAGCCCUCGGCUUAACCGAGGAAGCGCAUCGGAAACUGGGAAACUUGAGUGCAGAAGAGGACAGUGGAACUCCAUGUGUAGCGGUGAAAUGCGUAGAUAUAUGGAAGAACACCAGUGGCGAAGGCGGCUGUCUGGUCUGUAACUGACGCUGAGGCUCGAAAGCAUGGGU
RNAcentral lists this ribosomal RNA (751 nucleotides) under Lactobacillus casei group sp. RNAcentral's name for it is "bacterial SSU rRNA". It matches the Rfam family "Bacterial small subunit ribosomal RNA", at positions 51 to 766 of the family's 1533-position model. The record is from RNAcentral. Lineage: Bacteria; Bacillati; Bacillota; Bacilli; Lactobacillales; Lactobacillaceae.